AGAGUUUGAUCAUGGCUCAGAUUGAACGCUGGCGGCAGGCCUAACACAUGCAAGUCGAGCGGUAGCACAGAGAGCUUGCUCUCGGGUGACGAGCGGCGGACGGGUGAGUAAUGUCUGGGAAACUGCCUGAUGGAGGGGGAUAACUACUGGAAACGGUAGCUAAUACCGCAUAAUGUCGCAAGACCAAAGUGGGGGACCUUCGGGCCUCAUGCCAUCAGAUGUGCCCAGAUGGGAUUAGCUAGUAGGUGGGGUAACGGCUCACCUAGGCGACGAUCCCUAGCUGGUCUGAGAGGAUGACCAGCCACACUGGAACUGAGACACGGUCCAGACUCCUACGGGAGGCAGCAGUGGGGAAUAUUGCACAAUGGGCGCAAGCCUGAUGCAGCCAUGCCGCGUGUGUGAAGAAGGCCUUCGGGUUGUAAAGCACUUUCAGCGGGGAGGAAGGCGGUAAGGUUAAUAACCUCAGCGAUUGACGUUACCCGCAGAAGAAGCACCGGCUAACUCCGUGCCAGCAGCCGCGGUAAUACGGAGGGUGCAAGCGUUAAUCGGAAUUACUGGGCGUAAAGCGCACGCAGGCGGUCUGUCAAGUCGGAUGUGAAAUCCCCGGGCUCAACCUGGGAACUGCAUUCGAAACUGGCAGGCUAGAGUCUUGUAGAGGGGGGUAGAAUUCCAGGUGUAGCGGUGAAAUGCGUAGAGAUCUGGAGGAAUACCGGUGGCGAAGGCGGCCCCCUGGACAAAGACUGACGCUCAGGUGCGAAAGCGUGGGGAGCAAACAGGAUUAGAUACCCUGGUAGUCCACGCCGUAAACGAUGUCGAUUUGGAGGUUGUGCCCUUGAGGCGUGGCUUCCGGAGCUAACGCGUUAAAUCGACCGCCUGGGGAGUACGGCCGCAAGGUUAAAACUCAAAUGAAUUGACGGGGGCCCGCACAAGCGGUGGAGCAUGUGGUUUAAUUCGAUGCAACGCGAAGAACCUUACCUGGUCUUGACAUCCACAGAACUUUCCAGAGAUGGAUUGGUGCCUUCGGGAACUGUGAGACAGGUGCUGCAUGGCUGUCGUCAGCUCGUGUUGUGAAAUGUUGGGUUAAGUCCCGCAACGAGCGCAACCCUUAUCCUUUGUUGCCAGCGGUUAGGCCGGGAACUCAAAGGAGACUGCCAGUGAUAAACUGGAGGAAGGUGGGGAUGACGUCAAGUCAUCAUGGCCCUUACGACCAGGGCUACACACGUGCUACAAUGGCAUAUACAAAGAGAAGCGACCUCGCGAGAGCAAGCGGACCUCAUAAAGUAUGUCGUAGUCCGGAUUGGAGUCUGCAACUCGACUCCAUGAAGUCGGAAUCGCUAGUAAUCGUAGAUCAGAAUGCUACGGUGAAUACGUUCCCGGGCCUUGUACACACCGCCCGUCACACCAUGGGAGUGGGUUGCAAAAGAAGUAGGUAGCUUAACCUUCGGGAGGGCGCUUACCACUUUGUGAUUCAUGACUGGGGUGAAGUCGUAACAAGGUAACCGUAGGGGAACCUGCGGUUGGAUCACCU
RNAcentral lists this ribosomal RNA (1528 nucleotides) under Klebsiella pneumoniae. RNAcentral's name for it is "bacterial SSU rRNA". It matches the Rfam family "Bacterial small subunit ribosomal RNA". The record is from RNAcentral. Lineage: Bacteria; Pseudomonadati; Pseudomonadota; Gammaproteobacteria; Enterobacterales; Enterobacteriaceae.